Molecule: unclassified non-coding RNA, 249 nt
Filed under: Hevea brasiliensis (rubber tree)
Lineage: Eukaryota; Viridiplantae; Streptophyta; Magnoliopsida; Malpighiales; Euphorbiaceae
Source: RNAcentral
UGUUUGUGUUCUUUUGUAUAAUUUCUACCAUGUUUCAACCCAUAAGAAAAAUUUAAUGAUUAAAGAGUUCGGCACCCACUGAAGGCUUGGAGUGUACAAAAGCUCUAGCCCCUAAAUAGCAGCUUCUCAUCGAGCUUGGGGGAAUGGGGAUUUGGUGGGUGUAAGAGCUGUGAAUCUAUGGCUACUGUUUCUUCCAAAUAUGAAAUAUCACAACCGGGCCGAGAACCUGAUGAAGAUGAAGAUGAAGAA